UACAGAGGGGGCAAGCGUUGUUCGGAAUUACUGGGCGUAAAGGGCGCGUAGGCGGCCUUCUAAGUCGAACGUGAAAUCCCCGGGCUCAACCCGGGAACUGCGUCCGAUACUGGAAGGCUUGAAUCCGGGAGAGGGAUGUGGAAUUCCAGGUGUAGCGGUGAAAUGCGUAGAUAUCUGGAGGAACACCGGUGGCGAAGGCGACAUCCUGGACCGGUAUUGACGCGUGAGGCGCGAAAGCCAGGGGACGCAAACGGG
RNAcentral lists this ribosomal RNA (255 nucleotides) under uncultured bacterium. RNAcentral describes it as "partial 16S ribosomal RNA". It matches the Rfam family "Bacterial small subunit ribosomal RNA", at positions 524 to 776 of the family's 1533-position model. The record is from RNAcentral.